CCUCAUCGUCAAACUCAUCGUCCCCUUCCUCGUCUUCCUCCAGGGGCUCGGCGGCCGCGCCGCUGCUGGGCUGCCCGAGCAACAGCCCGUGCUCCGCCUCCUCCUCCUCCGAGGCCAGCUGGCCCUCGUCCACCAUCGCCUCCGCCGACGCCGGGGCGCGAGACGCUCGCGGUCGGAGCUGCACCAUGGCCCACGCAGCGCUAGACCGUCUGACCUCUGACCCGGAAGCAGCUACAAGCGGAGCGCAAGCCUACUUUCAUCGCCCCCUGCAGAUUUGGCUGCGUUCGCUCCGCACUUCGGAGGAGGUGGCGUUUCAUGGGAAGAAAUGCGCUCUAGCAGAUGGCCGCCGUGGCCAGUCAGCCCUGCUGCCACCGACGAAGACGCGGGCGACAGACCUGGACUCUAAAGAAAUCUGCACAGACGUGCCCGGCGCCCUCGGCCUUCCCAGCUCCGCGGCCGCAGCGACGCCGGUU
RNAcentral lists this long non-coding RNA (473 nucleotides) under Homo sapiens (human). RNAcentral describes it as "non-protein coding lnc-RANBP9-1:4". Lineage: Eukaryota; Metazoa; Chordata; Mammalia; Primates; Hominidae. The record is from RNAcentral.